UCGGGGACAAUGGUGACAGGUGGUGCAUGGUUGUCGUCAGCUCGUGUCGUGAGAUGUUGGGUUAAGUCCCGCAACGAGCGCAACCCCUAUCCUUAGUUGCCAGCAUUCAGUUGGGCACUCUAGGGAGACUGCCGGUGACAAACCGGAGGAAGGUGGGGAUGACGUCAAAUCAUCAUGCCCCUUAUGAGUUGGGCUACACACGUGCUACAAUGGACGGUACAAAGGGCAGCGAGACCGCGAGGUGGAGCCAAUCCCAUAAGGCCGUUCCCAGUUCGGAUUGCAGGCUGCAACUCGCCUGCAUGAAGUCGGAAUCGCUAGUAAUCGCAGGUCAGCAUACUGCGGUGAAUACGUUCCCGGGUCUUGUACACACCGCCCGUCACACCACGAGAGUUUGCAACACCCGAAGCCGGUGAGUAA
Molecule: ribosomal RNA, 417 nt
Filed under: uncultured Exiguobacterium sp.
Lineage: Bacteria; Bacillati; Bacillota; Bacilli; Caryophanales
Description: bacterial SSU rRNA
Rfam family: Bacterial small subunit ribosomal RNA
Source: RNAcentral